This 229-nucleotide long non-coding RNA is filed under the name Gossypium raimondii (Peruvian cotton). Its description in RNAcentral is "long non-coding RNA (GRAI_LNC007676)". Lineage: Eukaryota; Viridiplantae; Streptophyta; Magnoliopsida; Malvales; Malvaceae. The record is from RNAcentral.
AGAAGAUGGAACAAUGGUGAUCGUAAUCAUAAGGAAUGCCUUGUGACGAAAAACUAUGUAUUUUUUUUUAUUUUUCAUUUAUUUUUAGAAAUAGAACCAUGGAAGCCUUGGCUGAAAAUUUUAUUUUAUCACCCAUCUCUUUAUAUAUUUGUUUAAUAUUUCUUUACGAUUUAAUUGUGAUAUAUAUGUAUGAGAUGAUCCACGGUUGAUCUAUUAAAGAUAGGAAGUG